GGGGAAUAUUGCACAAUGGGCGAAAGCCUGAUGCAGCAACGCCGCGUGAGUGAUGAAGGUCUUCGGAUUGUAAAGCUCUGUCUUUUGGGACGAUAAUGACGGUACCAAAGGAGGAAGCCACGGCUAACUACGUGCCAGCAGCCGCGGUAAUACGUAGGUGGCGAGCGUUGUCCGGAUUUACUGGGCGUAAAGGGUGCGUAGGCGGAUGUUUAAGUGAGAUGUGAAAUACCCGGGCUUAACUUGGGUGCUGCAUUUCAAACUGGAUAUCUAGAGUGCAGGAGAGGAGAAUGGAAUUCCUAGUGUAGCGGUGAAAUGCGUAGAGAUUAGGAAGAACACCAGUGGCGAAGGCGAUUCUCUGGACUGUAACUGACGCUGAGGCACGAAAGCGUGGGUAGCAAACAGGAUUAGAUACCCUGGUAGUCCACGCCGUAAACGAUGAGUACUAGGUGUAGGAGGUAUCGACCCCUCCUGUGCCGCAGUAAACACAUUAAGUACUCCGCCUGGGAAGUACGAUCGCAAGAUUAAAAACUCU
RNAcentral lists this ribosomal RNA (532 nucleotides) under uncultured bacterium. Its description in RNAcentral is "partial 16S ribosomal RNA". It matches the Rfam family "Bacterial small subunit ribosomal RNA", at positions 356 to 903 of the family's 1533-position model. The record is from RNAcentral.